GCUAAAUGCAAAUCUAAAAUGUCAAGAAAUAAUUAUACUAACUAAUAAUAAACCACAAAAUUAUAAAUAUCCCGAAAUUUAUGUUGUCAGUUUUUAUUUACAUAUAUUUAAAGAACUUUGAAAACAAAAUAAAGUGCAAAAAGUGAACCCUCAUUAAUUAUAGGCGAAAUGUCUAAAACAGUUUCAAACUUUGCAUUAUUUACCCUUGUACCCCAAACUAUUUUUUUUUCUAAUAAUUUUAAAGAGAAAAAUAAGAGAAAGCAUCAAACAAGAUAUGCAAUCGUUAAAUCAAAUGCUUCCUCAACUGGUUUCCUCGAGGUACUGUAAUAUACAUUACCAUCAACUCCCCCAAUGUAACCAAAAUUUCCGGAGAAAUGGCAAAAAAGUUCCAAAAGGGAACUAAGCUGUACGCUGCCCACUUUGUUCAGGUGAUGCAUUUGAUUGAUUUCUUGUUGGAAGCCUCCUUUGAAGGUCAAGAUUUGACAACCGCUCUACCUCCAAUGCUCGCUCAAGCUUCAGCACAUCAAAUUUCAAUUUAUGAGUAAACCACUUCAAUGGAAGAUGGCUCCUGUCAUUCAUGCCAAUAUAAUUCUAGAACAGUAUAAAUGGAAUAAAAAAAUAAAUUAGUACCUUUGCUGCUCGUGCACUCCAUUCCCCUAAAAUAGCUCUUAGUCUUUCAUUCUCUUCCACAUACUAUUCCAUCAUUUCACCAACGAAAUUAGAAAAAAUAUGUUUUGUAAUUCAUAUUCCUAACACAUACAAAUCAUAUACAAUCUUUGCAUAAAGUAUGCUCAUGAUGACUGAAGGCUGUAUCAGGUUUCUUGCAGCCCUAAACAACCACCAUACCUAAUAUUGUAGAACCAUUACUAGCA
Molecule: unclassified non-coding RNA, 872 nt
Filed under: Hevea brasiliensis (rubber tree)
Lineage: Eukaryota; Viridiplantae; Streptophyta; Magnoliopsida; Malpighiales; Euphorbiaceae
Source: RNAcentral